Molecule: long non-coding RNA, 722 nt
Filed under: Gallus gallus (chicken)
Lineage: Eukaryota; Metazoa; Chordata; Aves; Galliformes; Phasianidae
Source: RNAcentral
AGGGCUUGAUGAAGGAGGUCUUGAUUUGUCUUUGCAGCCCGGCGAGCCGGGACUCUUCCUCUCCGGCGAGCUCCUGCCUUGCUCCGGGGAGUGCCGCGGGUGCCGGACCCUGCCCGCCGUGGAGCUGCCCUCCGGCAGCGGCGAGGAGCACGGCGAGGGCCCGCAGGCGACCGGCGGGGGCGGCGGGGGGGGAGGCGGCGGCGGCAGCUGGUGCGGCCGCGGGGGGCUGCCCCGGGCCCCGCCGCCGCCGCGCGUGGGGCUGCCGCCUCCUCCCGGCGUCUGCGCGGCCGUGGCGGGGCCGGCCCGCCCGCCGGUGGGCGUCGCGCGCGUGGGGCUGAUGCUGCGCGAGGCGGCCGCCGCGCGCGCGAGACCCCCGCCCGGGGCGCUGGCGCCGCUCCUCGUGGGGCUGCCAUGUUGCUGCUGCUGCUUGAGCUGGAAGGGCACCGUGGCCCGCAUGGGCUGGAGACGGCCGCUCGCUCCCGCUCCGCCGCCCGCCGCCGCCGCGCCCCCUCCUCCGGGGGAGGCGGCGGGGGUCGGGGAGCCGCCGCGCCGCACGCGCUGGUGGGACAUCGUCCGCUGGGGCCGGCGGCGGGAAGCCGAGAGAAGGGCGCGGAGCGCGGGCGGGUCCCGGCGGGGAUCGCGACGCCUCGGACAGCUCCCGCGCCGCUCUCCCCUCACGCCCGGUCCGGAGCUCCGCACGCUGCCCGCCGCGCCGCCGUGCG